Molecule: ribosomal RNA, 468 nt
Filed under: uncultured bacterium
Lineage: Bacteria
Description: partial 16S ribosomal RNA
Rfam family: Bacterial small subunit ribosomal RNA
Source: RNAcentral
GACGAACGCUGGCGGCGUGCUUAACACAUGCAAGUCGAACGGAAAGGCCCUGCUUUUGUGUGGUUCUCGAGUCGCGAACGGGUGAGUAACACGUGAGUAACCUUCCCUUUACUUUGGGAUAACUUCAGGAAACUGGUGCUAAUACCUGAUAGGAGCUCCUGCUGCAUGGUGGGGGUUGGAAAGUUUAGGCGGAUGGGGAUGGACGCGCGGCUUAUCAGCUUGUUGGUGGGGUAGUUGCCUACCAAGGCUUUGGUGGGUAGCCGGCCUGAGAGGGGGACCGGCGACAAGGGGACUGAGAGACGGCGCAGACGGCUACGGGAGGCAGCAGGCGGGAGUCUUGCACAGUGGGCGGAAGCCUGAGGAGGAAACGCCGCGUGCGGGAUGACGGCUUUCGGGUUGGAAACCGCAUUAGCCUGUGACGAAGCGUGAGUGACGGUAAUGGGUAAAGAAGCACCGGCUAACUACGUG